GACGAACGCUGGCGGCGUGCUUAACACAUGCAAGUCGAACGGAAAGGCCUCUUUCGGGGGGUACUCGAGUGGCGAACGGGUGAGUAACACGUGAGUAACCUGCCCUUGACUUUGGGAUAACUUCAGGAAACUGGGGCUAAUACCGGAUAGGAGCUCCUGCUGCAUGGUGGGGGUUGGAAAGUUUCGGCGGUUGGGGAUGGACUCGCGGCUUAUCAGCUUGUUGGUGGGGGAGUGGCUUACCAAGGCUUUGACGGGUAGCCGGCCUGAGGGGGUGACCGGCCACAUUGGGACUGAGAUGCGGCCCAGACUCCUACGGGAGGCAGCAGUGGGGAAUAUUGCACAAUGGGUGGAAGCCUGAUGCAGCAACGCCGUGUGCGGGAUGACGGCCUUCGGGUUGUAAACCGCUUUCGCUCAUGACGAAGCUUUGUGUGACGGUAGUGGGUAAAGAAGCACCGGCUAACUACGUG
This 467-nucleotide ribosomal RNA is filed under the name uncultured bacterium. Its description in RNAcentral is "partial 16S ribosomal RNA". It matches the Rfam family "Bacterial small subunit ribosomal RNA", at positions 28 to 507 of the family's 1533-position model. The record is from RNAcentral.